Molecule: ribosomal RNA, 905 nt
Filed under: Curtobacterium flaccumfaciens
Lineage: Bacteria; Bacillati; Actinomycetota; Actinomycetes; Micrococcales; Microbacteriaceae
Description: bacterial SSU rRNA
Rfam family: Bacterial small subunit ribosomal RNA
Source: RNAcentral
CCCAAUUUAGCUCAAAACGGGAACGCAUGGCGGCGGGGCUUAACACAUGCAAGUCGAACGAUGAUGCCCCAGCUUGCUGGAUGGAUUAGUGGCGAACGGGUGAGUAACACGUGAGUAACCUGCCCCUGACUCUGGGAUAAGCGUUGGAAACGACGUCUAAUACUGGAUAUGAUCACUGGCCGCAUGGUCUGGUGGUGGAAAGAUUUUUUGGUUGGGGAUGGACUCGCGGCCUAUCAGCUUGUUGGUGAGGUAAUGGCUCACCAAGGCGACGACGGGUAGCCGGCCUGAGAGGGUGACCGGCCACACUGGGACUGAGACACGGCCCAGACUCCUACGGGAGGCAGCAGUGGGGAAUAUUGCACAAUGGGCGAAAGCCUGAUGCAGCAACGCCGCGUGAGGGAUGACGGCCUUCGGGUUGUAAACCUCUUUUAGUAGGGAAGAAGCGAGAGUGACGGUACCUGCAGAAAAAGCACCGGCUAACUACGUGCCAGCAGCCGCGGUAAUACGUAGGGUGCAAGCGUUGUCCGGAAUUAUUGGGCGUAAAGAGCUCGUAGGCGGUUUGUCGCGUCUGCUGUGAAAUCCCGAGGCUCAACCUCGGGCUUGCAGUGGGUACGGGCAGACUAGAGUGCGGUAGGGGAGAUUGGAAUUCCUGGUGUAGCGGUGGAAUGCGCAGAUAUCAGGAGGAACACCGAUGGCGAAGGCAGAUCUCUGGGCCGUAACUGACGCUGAGGAGCGAAAGCAUGGGGAGCGAACAGGAUUAGAUACCCUGGUAGUCCAUGCCGUAAACGUUGGGCGCUAGAUGUAGGGACCUUUCCACGGUUUCUGUGUCGUAGCUAACGCAUUAAGCGCCCCGCCUGGAGGAGGCAACGGCCGCAAGGCUAAAACUCAAGAAAAUUUUGACCGGA